GACGAACGCUGGCGGCGUGCUUAACACAUGCAAGUCGAACGGAAAGGCCCUGCUUUUGUGGGGUGCUCGAGUGGCGAACGGGUGAGUAACACGUGAGUAACCUGCCCUUGACUUUGGGAUAACUUCAGGAAACUGGGGCGAAUACCGGAUAGGAGCUCCUGCUGCAUGGUGGGGGUUGGAAAGUUUCGGCGGUUGGGGAUGGACUCGCGGCUUAUCAGCUUGUUGGUGGGGUAGUGGCUUACCAAGGCUUUGACGGGUAGCCGGCCUGAGGGGGUGACCGGCCACAUUGGGACUGAGGUACGGCCCAGACUCCUACGGGAGGCAGCAGUGGGGAAUAUUGCACAAUGGGCGGAAGCCUGAUGCAGCAACGCCGCGUGCGGGAUGACGGCCUUCGGGUUGUAAACCGCUUUCGCCUGUGACGAAGCGUGAGUGACGGUAAUGGGUAAAGAAGCACCGGCUAACUCCGUG
RNAcentral lists this ribosomal RNA (468 nucleotides) under uncultured bacterium. Its description in RNAcentral is "partial 16S ribosomal RNA". It matches the Rfam family "Bacterial small subunit ribosomal RNA", at positions 28 to 507 of the family's 1533-position model. The record is from RNAcentral.